RNAcentral lists this ribosomal RNA (1465 nucleotides) under bacterium THCL18. Its description in RNAcentral is "partial 16S ribosomal RNA". It matches the Rfam family "Bacterial small subunit ribosomal RNA". The record is from RNAcentral.
AAAGAUGCGUCGCCUUCCAUCGCAGUCGAACGGCAGCACGGAGCUUGCUCUGGUGGCGAGUGGCGAACGGGUGAGUAAUAUAUCGGAACGUACCCUGGAGUGGGGGAUAACGUAGCGAAAGUUACGCUAAUACCGCAUACGAUCUAAGGAUGAAAGUGGGGGAUUCCCAAAACCCUCGUGCUCGGGGAGCGCCCUAUCUCUGAUUAUCUAGGGGGUGGGGAAAAACCCUCCCAGGGUCUCUAUCAAUCUCUGGUCAGAGAAGAACACCACCCACUGUGGAUCUGACACACGGCCCACACUCCUACGGGAGGCCACAGUGGAAAAUUUUAGACUGUGGGCGCACCCCUGAUCCAAAUGUGCCGCGAGAGUGAAAAGCGUCCUCGUUUUGAAAAUCUCUUUUCUCGGGAAAGACACGGGGAGAGCUAAUCUCUCCUGCAUGAGACGGCCCCUGAAGAAUACGCCCCGGAUAUACACGUCCCCGCACCCGCGGAUACACAUGGGGCGCACGCGUUUCUCAAAAUCUCUGCGUAUAAAGCGCGCGCACGCGGUUUUAAAACUCAAAUGAAAACUCCCCGCGCACCCCCUGAAAAUUUUUUUGAACACUGCGGUUCUAAUCUCUCGCAGAGGGGGAAAAAAUCCCCGUGAAACAGAAAAACCGCUAAAUUUGUGGAAGACCCCUGUGGAAACGCCCCCCCCCGGCAAAAAAUUGACCCCUCCCCACAAACACGGGGGGAGAAAAAGAAAAAAAUCCCGCUGGUCCCCCCCCCCCCAAAAAAUUUCUCAAAUUUGCGGGCUCAAUUGACUGGGUAACGCAGUUAACGCGUGAAGUAGCCCGCUGGGGGAGUACGGUCGCAAGAUUAAAACUCAAAGGAAUUGACGGGGACCCGCACAAGCGGUGGAUGAUGUGGAUUAAUUCGAUGCAACGCGAAAAACCUUACCUACCCUUGACAUGGCUGGAAUCCCCGAGAGAUUGGGGAGUGCUCGAAAGAGAACCAGUACACAGGUGCUGCAUGGCUGUCGUCAGCUCGUGUCGUGAGAUGUUGGGUUAAGUCCCGCAACGAGCGCAACCCUUGUCAUUAGUUGCUACGAAAGGGCACUCUAAUGAGACUGCCGGUGACAAACCGGAGGAAGGUGGGGAUGACGUCAAGUCCUCAUGGCCCUUAUGGGUAGGGCUUCACACGUCAUACAAUGGUACAUACAGAGCGCCGCCAACCCGCGAGGGGGAGCUAAUCGCAGAAAGUGUAUCGUAGUCCGGAUUGUAGUCUGCAACUCGACUGCAUGAAGUUGGAAUCGCUAGUAAUCGCGGAUCAGCAUGUCGCGGUGAAUACGUUCCCGGGUCUUGUACACACCGCCCGUCACACCAUGGGAGCGGGUUUUACCAGAAGUAGGUAGCUUAACCGCAAGGAGGGCGCUUACCACGGUAGGAUUCGUGANCGGGGUGAAGUCAANCAAUGAGUCACGAAAA